This 606-nucleotide ribosomal RNA is filed under the name Micrometula hyalostriata. RNAcentral describes it as "bacterial SSU rRNA". It matches the Rfam family "Eukaryotic small subunit ribosomal RNA", at positions 1220 to 1547 of the family's 1831-position model. The record is from RNAcentral. Lineage: Eukaryota; Foraminifera; Allogromiidae.
GGGUCCGGACACACUGAGGAUUGACAGGCAAAAGAUACAAGUUUUCUUUGUGAGAGCUUGCAUUGUAAAAUAUGCGAGUCCUUUCAUGAUUAUGUGAUAGGUGGUGCAUGGCCGUUCUUAGUUCGUGGAGUGAUCUGUCUGCUUAAUUGCGUUUCACAACGAUUUAAAAUGCUAUGUUUUCUGUGUUUGCUGUUCGGUUUUGCUCUUACGGGAGUUUUAACUUUGAACGCACACGGCGUAGCUUAAAACAAUCGGAAAGCAACGAACGUGACCGCAACCCCUUGUUGCCUUUAUUUUUAAAAGCGUGGAAAAUUUUAUAUUUUCUUACGCUUGAAAAAGGCUUUAAAACUAGAGGGACCGCUGUUCUAUUCUCUUAAACCAGAGGAAGAUUGCGGCAAUAACAGGUCUGUGAUGCCCUCAGAUGUUCCGGGCUGCACACGUGCUACAAUGAUUGUUGCAGUGAGCAUCUAUUUUCAAACGCUACCGUUGCGGAUUUUGUGAGAAGGGGGAUUUGUUUUAAAGCUUUCGGGUGGAGAAGCAGGUUCUUUUUUUCACAAUUUAUUCCGCGUUACGUGUCAGCUAAACCUGCUUCGAAAGCAAGUAGGU